CAGGAAAUAGUUUAAAUAAAAUGAUAAUUUUGGGUGUUAUAGAUAAGUAGUAUUACUUUUUUCUGA
Molecule: transfer RNA, 66 nt
Filed under: Megaloprepus caerulatus
Lineage: Eukaryota; Metazoa; Arthropoda; Insecta; Odonata; Coenagrionidae
Description: tRNA-Pro
Source: RNAcentral